GGAAAAAUGAAUUCGGGCUCGGCCCGAUCCUCCCACCCUUUGUGUACCUACCUCUGUUGCUUUGGCGGGCCGCGGUCCUCCGCGGCCGCCCCCCUCCCCGGGGGGGUGGCCAGCGCCCGCCAGAGGACCAUCAAACUCCAGUCAGUAAACGAUGCAGUCUGAAAAACAUUUAAUAAACUAAAACUUUCAACAACGGAUCUCUUGGUUCUGGCAUCGAUGAAGAACGCAGCGAAAUGCGAUAAGUAAUGUGAAUUGCAGAAUUCAGUGAAUCAUCGAAUCUUUGAACGCACAUUGCGCCCUUUGGUAUUCCGAAGGGCAUGCCUGUUCGAGCGUCAUUACAACCCUCAAGCUCUGCUUGGUAUUGGGCACCGUCCUUUGCGGGCGCGCCUCAAAGACCUCGGCGGUGGCGUCUUGCCUCAAGCGUAGUAGAACAUACAUCUCGCUUCGGAGCGCAGGGCGUCGCCCGCCGGACGAACCUUCUGAACUUUUCUCAAGGUUGACCUCGGAUCAGGUAGGGAUACCCGCUGAACUUAAGCAUAUCAUAAGACCGGAGGAA
Molecule: ribosomal RNA, 556 nt
Filed under: Botryosphaeria dothidea
Lineage: Eukaryota; Fungi; Ascomycota; Dothideomycetes; Botryosphaeriales; Botryosphaeriaceae
Description: eukaryotic LSU rRNA
Rfam family: 5.8S ribosomal RNA (bases 182-335)
Source: RNAcentral